GACGAACGCUGGCGGCGUGCUUAACACAUGCAAGUCGAACGAUGAAGAAGAGAAACGCGAACUUCGGUUCAAAUUUCACUUCGGAUUAGUGGCAGACGGGUGGGUAACGCGUGAGCAACCUACCUCUUACAAAGGGAUAGCCUCGGGAAACCGUGAUUAAUACCAUAUGACACAUUCAUAAGGCAUCUUAAGAAUGUUAAAGCUACGGCGGUAAGAGAUGGGCUCGCGUCCCAUUAGCUAGUUGGUGAGGUAACGGCCCACCAAGGCGACGAUGGGUAACCGGCCUGAGAGGGUGAACGGUCACAUUGGAACUGAGACACGGUCCAAACUCCUACGGGAGGCAGCAGUGGGGAAUAUUGCACAAUGGAGGGAACUCUGAUGCAGCGACGCCGCGUGAGCGAUGAAGGAAUUCGUUUCGUAAAGCUCUGUUCUAUGGGAAGAAAAGGACUGUACCAUAGGAGAAAGCCCCGGCUAAAUACGUG
RNAcentral lists this ribosomal RNA (482 nucleotides) under uncultured bacterium. Its description in RNAcentral is "partial 16S ribosomal RNA". It matches the Rfam family "Bacterial small subunit ribosomal RNA", at positions 28 to 507 of the family's 1533-position model. The record is from RNAcentral.